CCUUGAGCGUGGCCUUGGUCUGCGGGAUCGCUGUUUCCUACGUGAUAUAUCGACUGGGACAGGAUGAGGAGAGGGCACAGCUUGCCGCGCUUUAUGAAAAUAUCCAGAUGCCACUGUCAGGAGACGAAGAGGAGGCCUUCAGGGCCGGGCGCCCAGGCGAGGCUGGGUAUCUGCUUUCGGGGAACGAGAAGGAGCUGGCGGGGUUCAUCAAUUCAGCUAUUAGAUCAAAAAGAAGACAGCAUCUUGAAGGAGCGGGAUUGGAGAGCGUGCAAAAGCAGUAGAGGAAGCACAGCAUGG
Myotis lucifugus (little brown bat) is the source of this 297-nucleotide long non-coding RNA. RefSeq lists it as uncharacterized. The record is from RefSeq and is a predicted model, not a curated record. The transcript has 3 exons. Lineage: Eukaryota; Metazoa; Chordata; Mammalia; Chiroptera; Vespertilionidae.